AACGAACGCUGGCGGCAUGCCUAACACAUGCAAGUCGAACGGAUCCUUCGGGAUUAGUGGCGCACGGGUGCGUAACGCGUGGAAUCUACCCUUGGGGUUCGGAACAACAGUUAGAAAUGACUGCUAAUACCGGAUGAUGACGUAAGUCCAAAGAUUUAUCGCCCAGGGAUGAGCCCGCGUAAGAUUAGCUAGUUGGUGGGGUAAAGGCCUACCAAGGCGACGAUCUUUAGCUGGUCUGAGAGGAUGAUCAGCCACACUGGGACUGAGACACGGCCCAGACUCCUACGGGAGGCAGCAGUGGGGAAUAUUGGACAAUGGGCGAAAGCCCGAUCCAGCAAUGCCGCGUGAGUGAUGAAGGCCUUAGGGUUGUAAAGCUCUUUUACCCGGGAUGAUAAUGACAGUACCGGGAGAAUAAGCUCCGGCUAACUCCGUGGCUGUAAAAGACGAAGUGUGAUAUUACCUUAUUUGAACUGAUAAUUACAUCUGGCAUAUUUAGUCGGGCUUAUUUCAAUUUCUUUUACACUUGUUUAAUGUACACAUUGUAUGAUGUACACAUGAGGCUGAUAAUACUUUAAAGGACUUCUAGAUUUACAAAACAAUUUUUACUUAAAAGUUUUAUCGUUGAAGCUUUUUAUCAGUGACUGUUAAGAACUCAAAAUGUACGUACUUGUUUAUAUCCGUAUGGCAAUUAAUAAUUUGAAAAUGGAAAAAACGUACAAACGAAGAAUAGCCACUAACCAAAAAUUUAAAACCCGCACACCUAGGCCAACCCUCCCCAAACCCCACAUAAAACAUGCAAAACAAAACAAUUCACACAAUGGACACAUGAACACAGACAAAGAAAGAAACAAACAACAAAUCCAAGAGAGUUCCGCCUUGGAACGGUCUGCCGU
RNAcentral lists this ribosomal RNA (893 nucleotides) under uncultured bacterium. Its description in RNAcentral is "partial 16S ribosomal RNA". The stretch from base 10 to 456 matches the Rfam family "Bacterial small subunit ribosomal RNA", at positions 37 to 537 of the family's 1533-position model. The record is from RNAcentral.